CUAUCUAGACAAUAUAAUUACAUCAAAAAUGUUCGAGUACACAUUUCAUGUCGAGGCAUAGAAGAACCUACAUGUCUGGGAGAUGGCUAUGACAAAUUCCAGGACAAGCAAGAGAAGCAUGUGCGCCAGUCCAAUCUAUUAAAGCCCAUCAUCUCCGUAACAUACAUCUAGAAAGUACAGGCAUUUGAUCUAUUUUUUUCUUUUUUUUGGGGGGGAGGGGGGGGGGCAGAUUAUAUCAGCCAAAUUCGUAAAGAUCUGUCAUCAAUACGUUAAAGAUGAUACUAAUAGGUAAUACUAAAUGCACUUGCUUUUCAAGAGCUUUUUUUAGAUAAGAAUUACAGGACAAUUUCACAUUCAGGGUAAUGUAAAAAGAGUAGAGAGCACGAGUGAUUGUAUUGAAGGAAUCUAUCCACAUCUGAUUGCAUGAACAGUGAAAGAAUGACAUGGUCUGUAUUUUGGAUGUUUGAAUAUGAGAUUUCUACAAGAAAAAAAGGGAUCAACAAAGAAAAUAGAGCCAUCAAUAUCUAUUCUAGCUGAGCAUAGAAACAAAAGGAACUUCAAAGUUCAGUUCUACCAAUAAGAUCCCAUACCGUUAAUAUUUCUAGAGGUGGUCGUUAAGAGAUGUUGGCUCGGGCACAGUUUGCUGCCUUUUUCAAGCUUUUAUAGUUUGGUUCCUAUUUGGAUGCUACAUUCUAUGAUCUAAAAUAGAUGAAGGGAAACCAAAAUCUUUUAACAGAAAUCACAGAAAUCUACCAAUAAGAUCCCAUACCGUUAAUAUUUCUAGAGGUGGUCGUUAAGAGAUGUUGGCUCGGGCACAGUUUGCUGCCUUUUUCAAGCUUUUAUAGUUUGGUUCCUAUUUGGAUGCUACAUUCUAUGAUCUAAAAUAGAUGAAGGGAAACCAAAAUCUUUUAACAGAAAUCACAGAAAUUUAUGAAAACUGAAGACUUCGUGGGAAUCUAAAUGCAGAUUGCACCUAAACUCUGAACGUUGGAGCACACAGAAGUCAGAAAGUCCAUGAUGCUUCACUCAAUCAACUCUAUGUUUGUCAUACCCAUCAUAAAUUCUUCCAGUUCAUUCCUUUUACAUGAAUCAAAGCAUUGACAAAAAGAUGUCAUAUUCAACUCUUUCUGAACCAAACACCACCAUCCGAUGGGAUCACUUGAGAAAUGCAAUAAAUCAUGACUAACAACGAGGCUUGAAUUUCAC
This 1206-nucleotide long non-coding RNA is filed under the name Populus trichocarpa (black cottonwood). RNAcentral describes it as "long non-coding RNA (PTRI_LNC004110)". Lineage: Eukaryota; Viridiplantae; Streptophyta; Magnoliopsida; Malpighiales; Salicaceae. The record is from RNAcentral.